RNAcentral lists this ribosomal RNA (380 nucleotides) under Stenotrophomonas maltophilia. RNAcentral describes it as "bacterial SSU rRNA". It matches the Rfam family "Bacterial small subunit ribosomal RNA", at positions 40 to 416 of the family's 1533-position model. The record is from RNAcentral. Lineage: Bacteria; Pseudomonadati; Pseudomonadota; Gammaproteobacteria; Lysobacterales; Lysobacteraceae.
CGGUAGUCCUAACACAUGCAAGUCGAACGGCAGCACAGAGGAGCUUGCUCCUUGGGUGGCGAGUGGCGGACGGGUGAGGAAUACAUCGGAAUCUACUCUGUCGUGGGGGAUAACGUAGGGAAACUUACGCUAAUACCGCAUACGACCUACGGGUGAAAGCAGGGGAUCUUCGGACCUUGCGCGAUUGAAUGAGCCGAUGUCGGAUUAUCUAGUUGGCGGGGUAAAGGCCCACCAAGGCGACGAUCCGUAGCUGGUCUGAGAGGAUGAUCAGCCACACUGGAACUGAGACACGGUCCAGACUCCUACGGGAGGCAGCAGUGGGGAAUAUUGGACAAUGGGCGCAAGCCUGAUCCAGCCAUACCGCGUGGGUGAAGAAGGCC